UUUCUGAAAUGAAAGUAGUGUUCACGCUAGAUCAAAGAAAUCUAGACAACUAAAGAAAUUUUAGUUGAUGACUAGUGCAACAGAGACGAGCUUAUUAAUUUAAGUAUGCAACGAUGUAAACUCCGUGAGCU
RNAcentral lists this non-coding RNA (131 nucleotides) under Metamycoplasma arthritidis. The record is from RNAcentral. Lineage: Bacteria; Bacillati; Mycoplasmatota; Mycoplasmoidales; Metamycoplasmataceae.